RNAcentral lists this ribosomal RNA (267 nucleotides) under uncultured Atopobium sp. RNAcentral's name for it is "partial 16S ribosomal RNA". It matches the Rfam family "Bacterial small subunit ribosomal RNA", at positions 88 to 353 of the family's 1533-position model. Lineage: Bacteria; Bacillati; Actinomycetota; Coriobacteriia; Coriobacteriales; Atopobiaceae. The record is from RNAcentral.
GUAUAAAGUGGCGAACGGUUGAGUAACACGUGGGCAACCUGCCCUUUGCACUGGGAUAGCCUCGGGAAACCGAGGUUAAUACCGGAUACUCCAUAUUUGUCGCAUGGCGAAUAUGGGAAAGCUCCGGCGGCAAAGGAUGGGCCCGCGGCCUGUUAGCUAGUUGGUGGGGUAGUGGCCUACCAAGGCAAUGAUGGGUAGCCGGGUUGAGAGACCGACCGGCCAGAUUGGGACUGAGACACGGCCCAGACUCCUACGGGAGGCAGCAAC